CAGCUGCUUUGCAUGUGGGAGUGCACAUAGUGCAUGCAUGCAGCUGCUUUGCAUGUGAGUGUGUGGCCAUGUUGCAUGCAUGCAGCUCCUUUGCAUGUGAGUGUGCCCAUGGUGAAUGCAUGCAGCUGCUUUGCACGUGAUUAUGUGCACAUUGUGCAUGCAUGCAGCUCCUUUGAAUGUGUGUGUGCACGUGGUGCAUGCAUGCAGCUCUUUUGCAUGUGUGUGUGCACAUCGUGCAUGCAUGCAGCUCCUUUGCAUGUGGGUCUGAACAUACUGCAUGCAUGCAUCUGAUUUGCAUGUGAGUGUGCACAGUGCAUGCAUGCAGCUCCUUUGCAUGUGGGCGUGCACAGCUGCUUUGCAUGUGUGUGCACAUAAUGCAUGCGUGCAGCUGCUUGCAUGUGUGCGUGCACAUCGUGCAUGCAUGCAGCUCUUCUGUAUGUGGUUUGCAUAUAAUGCAUGCAUGCAGCUCCUUUGCUUGGGGGUGUGUGCAUAUAGUGCAUGCAUGCAGCUGCUUUGCGUGUGUGUGUGCACGUGGUGCAUGCAUGCAGCUCUUUUGCAUCUGUGUGUGCACAUAGUGCAUGCAUGCAGCUCCUUUGCAUGUGAGUGUGUCCAUAAUGCAUGCAUGCAGCUGCUUUGCACGUGAGUGUGUGCACAUAGUGCAUGCUUGCAGCUGCUUUGCAUGUGGGUGUGUGAACAUUGUGCAUGCAUGCAGCUCCUUUGCAUGUGAGUACAUGCACAGUGCAUGCAUGCAGCUCCUUUACAUGUGUGUGUGCACAGUGCAUGCAUGCAGCUCCUUUGCAUGUGGGUGUGUGCACAGUGUGUGCAUGCAUGCAGCUGCUUUGCAUGUGGGUGUGCGCAUAGUGCAUGCAUGGAGCUCCUUUGAUUGCCGUGUGUCUGUUUGCACAUGGUGCCGAUGCAUGCAGCUCCUUUGCAUGUGUGUGUUUGCAAGGGGGCUGUGAGAACCCCCUGGUGCCACCCCAUGGCAUCGGUGUCCUCUUGUUGGCACCCCAUGGCAUCGGUGCCCCUUGCUGCCACCCCAUUGCGUUGGGGACCCCUUGUUGCCACCCCAUGGCAUCAGCGACACCGUGGUGCGACCUCAUGGCAUUGGGA
This 1110-nucleotide long non-coding RNA is filed under the name Gallus gallus (chicken). Lineage: Eukaryota; Metazoa; Chordata; Aves; Galliformes; Phasianidae. The record is from RNAcentral.